Long non-coding RNA from Bombus pascuorum, 553 nucleotides. RefSeq lists it as uncharacterized. The transcript is spliced from 2 exons. Lineage: Eukaryota; Metazoa; Arthropoda; Insecta; Hymenoptera; Apidae. The record is from RefSeq and is a predicted model, not a curated record.
GUUACAAAAUAGCUCUGAAAAACAUUAGUGAAAUUAGUACAAAAUAAUAAUCAAAAGCUCAUUAUAAAUAAUAAUAAAAAAUUAUUGUGCAAGUAAAUCUAUCGAGUAAUCCAUUACUUUCGUGAGCCACUGUAUGUAUUAAGAGUACACAAGCACAAACGAUACGCACGGCUACAUAUACGUCUACACCCACCUACGUAUUUGCUACACCUAUUGGCCAUAAAAAGUACUCACUUGAAUGAAUUGUAUCGUGAUCGCAGAUUUUCCGACGCCACCCGCGCCAACGACGACGAGCUUGUAUGUCUGCGCAUAGCUUUGUUUGUCACCGAGCUUCGACAUUUUUCAUAUGAUCGACGAAUUGUGGAAAUUUCAGAGGAAUACUGAACACAUAUUGAAAACGGCACGGUGAAACGUAGAAAAAUACAAAAUCGAGGCGCAUUCACAUGCAAGCACGUACUACUGCGUUCUUCUUAGUACGAGAAGAGCCCAGUAUACCGGAUCCUGGACAUUUCCUUACUAGUAGUGUGUAGUCGAGAACUUAAACGUGACUAAA